GAUGAACGCUGGCGGCGUGCCUAAUACAUGCAAGUCGAGCGAACAGAUGAGGAGCUUGCUCCUCUGACGUUAGCGGCGGACGGGUGAGUAACACGUGGAUAACCUACCUAUAAGACUGGGAUAACUUCGGGAAACCGGAGCUAAUACCGGAUAAUAUAUUGAACCGCAUGGUUCAAUAGUGAAAGACGGUUUUGCUGUCACUUAUAGAUAGAUCCGCGCCGCAUUAGCUAGUUGGUAAGGUAACGGCUUACCAAGGCGACGAUGCGUAGCCGACCUGAGAGGGUGAUCGGCCACACUGGAACUGAGACACGGUCCAGACUCCUACGGGAGGCAGCAGUAGGGAAUCUUCCGCAAUGGGCGAAAGCCUGACGGAGCAACGCCGCGUGAGUGAUGAAGGUCUUCGGAUCGUAAAACUCUGUUAUUAGGGAAGAACAAAUGUGUAAGUAACUAUGCACGUCUUGACGGUACCUAAUCAGAAAGCCACGGCUAACUACGUG
Molecule: ribosomal RNA, 497 nt
Filed under: uncultured bacterium
Lineage: Bacteria
Description: partial 16S ribosomal RNA
Rfam family: Bacterial small subunit ribosomal RNA
Source: RNAcentral